This is a small nucleolar RNA of Dioscorea cayenensis subsp. rotundata (Guinea yam), 107 nucleotides long. The record is from RefSeq and is a predicted model, not a curated record. NCBI's taxonomy places the organism in Eukaryota, Viridiplantae, Streptophyta, Magnoliopsida, Dioscoreales, Dioscoreaceae.
AAUCCAUGUUGCGGCCACUUUCUAAGGAGCUCCUUGAACCUUUCCCACGUCUCAAAUAGAGACUCAAAUUCCAACUGUAAAAAGGACGAGAUCUCAUUCUUAAGCUU